GACGAACGCUGGCGGCGUGCCUAAUACAUGCAAGUAGAACGCUGAAGGAGGAGCUUGCUCUUCUGGAUGAGUUGCGGACGGGUGAGUAACGCGUAGGUAACCUGCCUGGUAGCGGGGGAUAACUAUUGGAAACGAUAGCUAAUACCGCAUAAGAGUAGAUGUUGCAUGACAUUUACUUAAAAGGUGCAAUUGCAUCACUACCAGAUGGACCUGCGUUGUAUUAGCUAGUUGGUGGGGUAACGGCUUACCAAGGCGACGAUACAUAGCCGACCUGAGAGGGUGAUCGGCCACACUGGGACUGAGACACGGCCCAGACUCCUACGGGAGGCAGCAGUAGGGAAUCUUCGGCAAUGGACGGAAGUCUGACCGAGCAACGUCGCGUGAGUGAAGAAGGUUUUCGGAUCGUAAAGCUCUGUUGUAAGAGAAGAACGAGUGUGAGAGUGGAAAGUUCACACUGUGACGGUAUCUUACCAGAAAGGGACGGCUAACUACGUG
RNAcentral lists this ribosomal RNA (495 nucleotides) under uncultured bacterium. Its description in RNAcentral is "partial 16S ribosomal RNA". It matches the Rfam family "Bacterial small subunit ribosomal RNA", at positions 28 to 507 of the family's 1533-position model. The record is from RNAcentral.